This 450-nucleotide ribosomal RNA is filed under the name uncultured bacterium. Its description in RNAcentral is "partial 16S ribosomal RNA". It matches the Rfam family "Bacterial small subunit ribosomal RNA", at positions 338 to 795 of the family's 1533-position model. The record is from RNAcentral.
CCUACGGGUGGCAGCAGUAAGGAAUAUUGGUCAAUGGAGGCAACUCUGAACCAGCCAUGCCGCGUGCAGGAUGACGGCCCUAUGGGUUGUAAACUGCUUUUAUACAAGAGAAAACCCUGGUACGUGUACCAGGUUGAUAGUAUUGUAAGAAUAAGCAUCGGCUAACUUCGUGCCAGCAGCCGCGGUAAGACGAAGGAUGCAAGCGUUAUCCGGAUUCAUUGGGUCUAAAGGGUGCGUGUGCGGAAGUGUAGAAAUCUCUUUGCUUAACAAAGAAACUGCCAUUGAUACUGCAGGUCUAGAGUAUAGAUGACGUUGGCGGAAUAUGACAUGUAGUGGUGAAAUACUUAGAUAUGUCAUAGAACACCGAUUGCGAAGGCAGCUAACGAAACUAUAACUGACGCUGAGGCACGAAAGUGCGGGGAUCAAACAGGAUUAGAUACCCGUGUAGUC